UUCACAGGUGUGUGUGUCAGUCGUUGUGUAUAGCCCUCAUGUUAGCAUUGUCUCUGGUCUAGGUUUGUUACCUGUAACCUCUGUUGGUGGUGUGUGUUUUGCAGGUUGCCCUGGCUUCUGUCUUGUCCGUCCCCCUGCUGCUGUUGAACUUGUGACCUCAUUUCCAUGGAGACAUGUCAAGACAAAGAUGGAGGGCAGCAGAGAGAGUUGGACGUCAGGCUGGAAACCUGUGUGGUCUUCAGAAAUGUGUAGCCUAGUCCAACACACACAUUCAUUCCUGGCCCAAAAACCCAGCUCUGAUUCGCAAGGAGGAUUCAUCUGCUUUGGAAAACCAGCAGUGCCGUAUGCAGCCACCGCCGUUGAAGGAGAGCGGAAUCCCUGGAUAACAAAUUCCUUUUCAGUAAUGUAAAAUGGGAAAGCUGUCUAGAUGUGGGGAGGAAAAUCGAGGAGGAGGAGGUUCAUAACUCACAUAUAUAUUUUGAAAAGUCGUGUCUAGUUUAUAAAGGUGUGUAUAUUUAAGCUUUUCAAGAUGAGUAAUGGUAGCGUAGGUCAUGGUGCAUGCAGGAUUGGACACCUCUCAAAUAAAACAAAAACAAACA
This is a long non-coding RNA of Pimephales promelas (fathead minnow), 599 nucleotides long. RefSeq lists it as uncharacterized. The record is from RefSeq and is a predicted model, not a curated record. Lineage: Eukaryota; Metazoa; Chordata; Actinopteri; Cypriniformes; Leuciscidae.